GAUGAACGCUGGCGGCGUGCCUAAUACAUGCAAGUCGAGCGAACAGAUGAGGAGCUUGCUCCUCUGACGUUAGCGGCGGACGGGUGAGUAACACGUGGAUAACCUACCUAUAAGACUGGGAUAACUUCGGGAAACCGAAGCUAAUACCGGAUAAUAUAUUGAACCGCAUGGUUCAAUAGUGAAAGACGGUUUUGCUGUCACUUAUAGAUGGAUCCGCGCCGCAUUAGCUAGUUGGUAAGGUAACGGCUUACCAAGGCAACGAUGCGUAGCCGACCUGAGAGGGUGAUCGGCCACACUGGAACUGAGACACGGUCCAGACUCCUACGGGAGGCAGCAGUAGGGAAUCUUCCGCAAUGGGCGAAAGCUUGACGGAGCAACGCCGCGUGAGUGAUGAAGGUCUUCGGAUCGUAAAACUCUGUUAUUAGGGAAGAACAAAUGUGUAAGUAACUAUGCACGUCUUGACGGUACCUAAUCAGAAAGCCACGGCUAACUACGUG
RNAcentral lists this ribosomal RNA (497 nucleotides) under uncultured bacterium. RNAcentral's name for it is "partial 16S ribosomal RNA". It matches the Rfam family "Bacterial small subunit ribosomal RNA", at positions 28 to 507 of the family's 1533-position model. The record is from RNAcentral.